This is a long non-coding RNA of Zalophus californianus (California sea lion), 463 nucleotides long. RefSeq lists it as uncharacterized. The transcript is spliced from 3 exons. The record is from RefSeq and is a predicted model, not a curated record. Lineage: Eukaryota; Metazoa; Chordata; Mammalia; Carnivora; Otariidae.
CUGCACCCCAAGGCUCCAUACCGCUCCAGGGUAAGGCAGGGGUGUCUGUGGAAGGGUCCAGUGUGUGGCUCAGAGAAACUCGCGAUUCCUCAAGAAAUUCAAACACUGAGGGUGCAGACACUGCAGAAGGGCCCCCUGGGGGAAGAAAACAUGAAGGGGUUAGGGAAGAACCACAAAGAUAAAGAAAGGCUGGAAAGCUGGUUGUGAGAGGAGAAGGGGAGAAGCUGGGGACAUGCACGUCAGAGACCCAGACCCAUCACCGUAGCCUUCACACUGGGCAGUGUCAGGGUCAAGGCUCACUGUUGCCAAUGUACCUGGAGAAGAAAAAGCAAGCCCGACAUUGAGCUGUACUUCUACUGAUCAAUCAUAUUAUCGGUUAGUAAUUUCCAAACCUUAUUUCACAAUAAGAAGACCUGUGGAUUUUUCAGACAUACGUGUUCAUGACCCUCCGCUAGAGGUUCUG